AAAAAAGGUGGGUCAAGAUGUCAAGAUGCUAUUUGCUUUGGUGGAUUGGAGGAACGUCUCUGGCAUGAGUCAGUGUCCAUGUAACCCUUCCUCAGGAAUGUGAGGAUCUGAGGAAAGAAAACAAGUACUUAUCAAAUGAGAUCCACAUGGAGAGGAUCAUGAUGCGCACAGAGAGCGAGCUGACCAUGAGGAACCUGAGGAACCUGAACCAGGAGCUGCAGGCUCAAGUGAAAGAGCUGAAGCAGAAGCUGUAUCAGAGCCAGCAGAGGGCGACGUUGAGUUCACGAGCUGCAGAUGAGGCGGUGGAGUCCAGAGAGGAGGCAGAGAAGAGCAGGGCCCUCGCUGUGGCUCGGGCCCUCGGGAGCCAGAGGGACAAGGGGGCCGCGGAGGCCGACAGGAGCCGCAUGAGUGAAGAACUACAGCAGCUUAAGAAGGAGGUGCACAGAUAUCUGAUGUGCACACUCACCUUCAAUAUGUUGUUAGUGAACAGAGAUACGUAGAGGCAGCAACAUAGUUGUAGAACAGGGGGGUUAAUGCGUAUAUGUGUCUGUGUAUUCAUAGUGUAAUAACAUAUAAAUAUCUAACUUUGCAGCACACUGAUCUGCAGCUUUCUCAAGCACAAACAGAGAAGAGCUACUUUGAAAGUAAGCUGAAGCUGGAGCGGGUGUCUGGGGAGAAACAGGCGCUGCUGCAGGAGAACAGGAGCCUGGAGGGAGUCAGAGACGACCUCCGACACAAGCUGAGGCAGAUCACUGACGAAAAUGUCCAAAUAAAACAGAGUGAGAUGAAUUCGAGGCGGCGAGCGAUGACUUCGGAGGAGGAGGGGAAAAAUGCCAACCAGGCCCGGCAGGAGGCCGAGGCCGAGAGGCGCCUGGCUGAGAAGGAGAGGCAGGACAGAGCGGCCGAGUGUCUCCGCUGGAGGGAGAAGCACCAGGACAUGGACCACAGAUUCAGAGCGCAGGAGGACCUGAAGGCUCUGAGGCAGAACAAAGCAGUAAGAAAGCAUCCAGGACCUCAGAAUCAGUGUGGUCCUCACAAAUGGACAUUUCGAAUGUACUCCGUUACAUUGUUACGUUUUGUUUUCCAACAGUGUCAAGCAAACAUCAAGAGUUAUUUCCUCUGCAUGACAGAAAGCAACCAGAGGGUGAAGAUUCUCAGAAAUCAAGACGGCGCACCAAGAAACUUUACGGAGGGAGACCCGGUGUACAUCUCCACACCUGAGUCCAGCCCUGAAGAGCCUGAGAGGACUUCAUCCAGGACAGGACAGGACCUCAGGACCAUGUUGAGGGUCUCCGCCCCACACACGGGCCCGAGUCACUUCCAUGACCUGCCCGCCUUCGGAGGAGAGGGACCCGACUCUGCGCCUCCUCGCAGAAGCAGGAAGGUGGUGGAGUACUUCUGGAUCCCGACAGAUCAGGAGUAA
Molecule: long non-coding RNA, 1423 nt
Filed under: Cottoperca gobio
Lineage: Eukaryota; Metazoa; Chordata; Actinopteri; Perciformes; Bovichtidae
Description: lncRNA (ENSCGOG00000010995.1)
Source: RNAcentral